RNAcentral lists this ribosomal RNA (1095 nucleotides) under Osmia cerinthidis crassiclypeata. RNAcentral describes it as "partial 16S ribosomal RNA". The record is from RNAcentral. Lineage: Eukaryota; Metazoa; Arthropoda; Insecta; Hymenoptera; Megachilidae.
UACCUUUUGUAUCAGGGUUGAUUAAAUAAUUUUUAAAUAAUUAAUUAUCUCGAAAUUAAAAGAGUUAAAUAUAUAAAAUUUUUUUUGUUAAAUAAAAAUUAUAAAUAUAUAUUUAGAGAUUAAAUGUUAUUCGAUUUUAAUGAUAUCUAGUUUUUUUUGAAUUAAAUUUAAUUUAUAUAUUUUUUAAGAAUAAAUUUUAUUAAAAAAUUUUAUUUUAUAAAAUAUAAAUAAUUUAUGGGAUAAACUAUAAAUUAAUUAUAUAAUAGUUUAAUUUAAAAUUUAAAGAAAUUAAUUUUAAAAUUUAAAAAUAUUUAAUAAGUAUUUAAUAAUUUAUUAAUAAAUGUUUUAUUAUAUUAUAUAUAUAUAUAAAUUAGAAAAUAAAUAAUUUUAAUGAAUUAAUUAUAUUAGAAUGAUUAAAUUAGUAAUUUAAUUUGUUUAAAUUAUUUUAUUAUAUAUAUAAUAAAUAUAUUUAAGUAAUUAGGCAAAAUAAUUAUAUUCACCUGUUUAACAAAAACAUGUCUUUUUGAAUUUAAUAUAAAGUCAGUUCUGCUCAAUGAUUAAUUAAAUAGCUGCAGUAUUUUAACUGUACAAAGGUAGCAUAAUCAUUUGUCUUUUAAUUGAAGGCUAGAAUGAAUGAAUUAAUGAAAUAUAAACUGUCUCAAUUAUAUAAAAUAAAAUUAAAUUUUAAGUUAAAAUGCUUAAUUUAAUUUAAGGGACGAUAAGACCCUAUAGAAUUUUAUAUAUUAUAAAUUUAAUAAAUUAUAAUAGUAUAUUUGAUUGGGAGGAUUUUUAGAUUUAAUUAACUUUAAAGUUUUAAAAAUAUUGAUUUAUAGAUAAAUUUAAUUGAAAUAUAUUAUUAUAUAAUAUAAUAAAAGUAUAAAUUACCUUAGGGAUAACAGCGUAAUAUUUUUGGAAAGAUCAAAUUGAAAAAAUUGUUUGCGACCUCGAUGUUGAAUUAAAAUUAAUUAUAAAUGUAGGUGUUUAUAAAUUUAGUCUGUUCGACUAUUAAAAUUUUACAUGAUUUGAGUUCAGAUCGACGUGAGUCAGAUUGGUUUCUAUCUUUAAAAAAAUUUAAAAUUUUUGUACGAAAGGACU